Molecule: non-coding RNA, 1556 nt
Organism: Camelina sativa (false flax)
Lineage: Eukaryota; Viridiplantae; Streptophyta; Magnoliopsida; Brassicales; Brassicaceae
Source: RefSeq, a predicted model, not a curated record
GCUCUUGUUUUCAUGUUUUUGUUUUUAUUUCUUUUUGAAUCGUAUGUUUGUUUGAUCUUUUGUCAAAUCCUCCAUUACUCUAAUUCUGCAAGAAAAGAAUGGUCUGUUGGAUAAAUUCCCUUACGAUGUAAGAAAAGAAGCUUCACUUCUCCACCAAAUAAAGUUUCAAUUUUUUUUCUUUUAGGGUUUCCUCUCUCUCUUAUCUUUGGGAGAUUUCAAUCAGAGGAGAGAUUUCAAAAAGAUGCUAGAUUUCAGUCGAGUCUAGAAAGAGCUUCAAGAUUUCAGCAGAGACAACGAUUCUUCGGGUAUCCGGGUCAGCCCGAAAGCCGAUAAUCUCCCCCGACUCACCGGAACCAUUCCUGGUCCAAUCGGUACUCCUUAGGAAGGCGGAACUUUUCAUAUCAAUAUCACCAUGCCAGUGGUUGGUUCUGUUCCUUUUUCUCGUCCUGAUCGUGUUUCUUCUCCUAAAGCUCCAGAAUUUGGUCUUGAAGAUCUCAAAAGGCUCUUCCUUUUUCAUAUUUCUUCUAUCCAGAGAUAAAGAGAUGGGUACAUACCUAAGUUCUCCAAAAACUGAUAAGUUAUCAGAAGAUGGUGAGAAUGAUAAGCUCGGAUAUGGUUUAACGUCUAUGCAAGGUUGGCGUGCUACCAUGGAAGAUGCACAUGCAAAAAUUCUUGAUUUGGAUAAUAAGACAUCUUUCUUCGGUGUGUACAAUGGCCAUGGAGGUUAGCAAAUACUGUUUAUGCUCUGAAGACAGCGCUUGUUUCAGUCCAGGCAUUACUCUCUGCAUCUGAGCCCAAAUACCCUCAAGAUGCUGUUGUAGCUGAAUUUCGCAAGUCAUUCUCUGCGGUGGCUCAGCCAGGUCCAGCGGUGGUCGCGUUGCAAGGGUGGCGGUUAGGGUUCGUCCAAAUUCUUAGAUCUGUUCACGGUUCGGUUCCCAAGCAUUUCUUCUUCAGACACCUGAAUAUGGAAUUAAGACUAACGAGGUAAAGGAGAGAAUGAUCUUGUUGUUGUUAGUUUAUAUAGCUUGAAGGAACCUUUUGUUGUUGUUUUGUGGUGAUGUAUGAUUGAUUUAUGUAUUCUUAUGAGGUGAAUUCGAGAGGAAUUGAGAUCUUUUCCAAAAGCGGGCUUCUCCUGGAGUUCACACGAAGGAGUUAUCCAAAUUAUAAAUCGGGUGAUUCCUAGCUUACCUAAUUUGGACCUACACGGAUUCAUUGGAGGAUUCCGACAAGAGCAGAAGGAUCUAAAGAGGGCAAAGAGAAGGCGACUUAGUGAGGAAGCUAAGGAAGCUCACGUUGAAGACAUUUCAUCAACUGCACCUUCUGCAAGCCAACUCUGAUUCUAGGACUAAUUAGAGAUGAAUUGAUAUUUUGGGAUUUUAUAACCUAUGAAACUAUUGGUUAGGUUAUUUUUUUGGAUGUAACCCUCUGAUAUUUUGUCUACGUUUAACCUAGAUAACAAUCAGUUGUUAACUGUUUGGUUUAUCGUCUUUUUAUCGUUGUUAACUGCACCUUCUGUACCCAUUAUGGAGUUAAAAAAAUAUAUAUAUUGUAUACUA